UACAGAGGUCUCAAGCGUUGUUCGGAUUCAUUGGGCGUAAAGGGUGCGUAGGCGGCGCGGUAAGUCGGGUGUGAAAUCUCGGAGCUUAACUCCGAAACUGCAUUCGAUACUGCCGUGCUUGAGGACUGGAGAGGAGACUGGAAUUUACGGUGUAGCGGUGAAAUGCGUAGAUAAUCGUAAGGAAGACCAGUGGCGGAAGGCGGGUCUCUGGACAGUUCCUGACGCUGAGGCACGAAGGUCAGGGGAGCAAACGGGG
Molecule: ribosomal RNA, 256 nt
Filed under: uncultured bacterium
Lineage: Bacteria
Description: partial 16S ribosomal RNA
Rfam family: Bacterial small subunit ribosomal RNA
Source: RNAcentral